UCAAGUGGAAUUCGACAGGAUUGCCUCUCACUGACUGUGUGACCUUGGGCAGAUUGCUUAACACUGCUGAACCUCAUUUCUCCUCGUGGGAGAUGGCGAUAACAAUAUGUGACUCCUAGGACUCUGGUGAAGAUCGGAUUAAAUCAGAGAGAGUUUGUAGCCUCUAGUUAGACAACAGCACAGCACUGCCCCCCUCCCUGGGUCCAGCUGACUACCCUGCCCCUGGUUUAUCACUCAGUAGAAAAAUAUGAAUGACACCUUGGCUGAGUGUGGGACAGGAAGAGUUAACAUGCUGACAGACGGCAUUUUUUACCUUCAGUCAAUAUGAACAAGGCCCCAAGACUAUGAUUCCAAACAUCUGGAUUUCAUCAAUAUGUGAUCUGUCAUCGUAUAUUGGCAUUCCCCAGUCCCCGCGCCAGAGCAAUGCAGCUGGUUUUAUUAAUACGUCAAAUACAUUAUCCGUGUAAUACACUUGUCUGGCUGGGGCCUCCCGCUGGGGCGGGGCGGCGGAUUUGAAUGUAUGAUGAAUCAGUUUGCAUUA
Long non-coding RNA from Ochotona princeps (American pika), 541 nucleotides. RefSeq lists it as uncharacterized. The transcript is spliced from 2 exons. NCBI's taxonomy places the organism in Eukaryota, Metazoa, Chordata, Mammalia, Lagomorpha, Ochotonidae. The record is from RefSeq and is a predicted model, not a curated record.